RNAcentral lists this ribosomal RNA (379 nucleotides) under uncultured cyanobacterium. Its description in RNAcentral is "bacterial SSU rRNA". It matches the Rfam family "Bacterial small subunit ribosomal RNA", at positions 376 to 770 of the family's 1533-position model. The record is from RNAcentral. Lineage: Bacteria; Bacillati; Cyanobacteriota.
CGAAAGCCUGACGGAGCAACGCCGCGUGAGGGAUGAAGGCCUCUGGGCUGUAAACCUCUUUUAUCAAGGAAGAAGAUCUGACGGUACUUGAUGAAUAAGCCACGGCUAAUUCCGUGCCAGCAGCCGCGGUAAUACGGGAGUGGCAAGCGUUAUCCGGAAUUAUUGGGCGUAAAGCGUCCGCAGGCGGCCUGACAAGUCUGCUGUUAAAGCGUGGAGCUUAACUCCAUUUCAGCAGUGUGAACUGUCAGGCUUGAGUGUGGUAGGGGCAGAGGGAAUUCCCGGUGUAGCGGUGAAAUGCGUAGAUAUCGGGAAGAACACCAGUGGCGAAAGCGCUCUGCUGGGCCAUCACUGACGCUCAUGGACGAAAGCCAGGGGAGCG